This 678-nucleotide ribosomal RNA is filed under the name Triticum aestivum (bread wheat). RNAcentral's name for it is "partial small subunit ribosomal RNA". Lineage: Eukaryota; Viridiplantae; Streptophyta; Magnoliopsida; Poales; Poaceae. The record is from RNAcentral.
AUGGAGGGGGAGCCGCCCGCGCAGGGCCCGGCCCUUAGCACCUCCGCCGUCUCCGGCUCCGGCGGCGGCAGGGAGAAGGGCGCCCUGUGCCAGGAGUGCGAGGAGCAGCCGUGGAAGUACCGGUGGCCGGGAUGCUCCCGCCUCACCUAUAGCCUCCCUUGUGUGCAAGCCCACAAGCGCCGCACCGCCUGCUCCGGCAAGCGCCCCCACACCGUCCCCGUCCCGCUCGCCCAGUUCGACGGCAACCAGCUCCUCUCUGAUUACAACUUGGUGGAGGAGAUGAGCCAGGUUAGGGAGUCGGCCCACAGGCUACUCGACGGCUUCGGACGCAACUUCGAUUGCGGCUUCGUGGGACGCCAUGGCGCCCAGCUGCCGCUGUGGCUCUCCUUCCUCCGCAAGGCCGUGGAGCGCCGGGGCGUCCGGCUCGCCGUCCAAACUCCAUGGACCAUGUUUGUAACUUAUUGCCUCUCUGCCCGCUCGCUCGCCAGCGGCAGCAUCGCACAUCGAGAAAAGCUGAACACUCUCAAGGACCAGCUUAGGGGACUGGAGGCAGGUCCAGCAGAGGCUCUGUCCAGUUCAUUGAUGACAGCCAAGGGUUCAUGCUCGGAAAUGACUACAUCUUGCUCCAUGUUGUCGGCUCAGCUAGAGUCCUUAAUCAUGAGGAGAUGGGACACGUAG